AUAAGAGGGGGCUUGCUCCCGACGACGGUGGGUCAGUUAAUGAAAGUGUUGACUGAUUCACCGCCAUCGGGAGCAAGCCCCCUCCCAC
RNAcentral lists this unclassified non-coding RNA (88 nucleotides) under Pseudomonas synxantha. The record is from RNAcentral. Lineage: Bacteria; Pseudomonadati; Pseudomonadota; Gammaproteobacteria; Pseudomonadales; Pseudomonadaceae.